Molecule: ribosomal RNA, 335 nt
Filed under: uncultured bacterium
Lineage: Bacteria
Description: bacterial SSU rRNA
Rfam family: Bacterial small subunit ribosomal RNA
Source: RNAcentral
GAUUAACGCUGGCGGCGUGCCUAACACAUGCAAGUCGAACGAGGUAGCAAUACCUAGUGGCAGACGGGUGAGUAACGCGUGGUCAACCUACCCUAGAGUGGGGGAUAACUAGCCGAAAGGUUAGCUAAUACCGCAUGAAACGUGCCGGGGCAUCUCGGAAUGUUGAAAGGAGCAAUCCGCUCAAGGACGGGACCGCGUCCCAUUAGCUAGUUGGUGGGUAACGCCUACAAGGCACCGAUGGGANCUGGUUUGAGAGAGCGACCAGCCACACUGGGACUGAGAAACGGCCCAGACUCCUACGGGAGGCAGCAGUGAGGAAUUUUCCGCAAUGGGCG